UGAGGAAUAUUGCACAAUGGAGGAAACUCUGAUGCAGCAACGCCGCGUGGAGGAUGAAGCAUUUCGGUGUGUAAACUCCUUUUAUUAGGGAAGAUAAUGACGGUACCUAAUGAAUAAGCACCGGCUAACUCAGUGCCAGCAGCCGCGGUAAUACGGAGGGUGCAAGCGUUACUCGGAAUCACUGGGCGUAAAGGGUGCGUAGGCUGGCUUCUAAGUCAGAUGUGAAAUCCAAUGGCUUAACCAUUGAACUGCAGUUGAAACUGGGAGCCUAGAGUUCAGAAGGGGCAGAUGGAAUUAGUGGUGUAGGGGUAAAAUCCGUAGAUAUCACUAGGAAUAUCAAAAGCGAAGGCGAUCUGCUGGGAUGAUACUGACGCUGAGGCACGAAAGCGUGGGGAGCAAACA
Molecule: ribosomal RNA, 402 nt
Filed under: uncultured prokaryote
Description: bacterial SSU rRNA
Rfam family: Bacterial small subunit ribosomal RNA
Source: RNAcentral